RNAcentral lists this ribosomal RNA (492 nucleotides) under uncultured bacterium. RNAcentral's name for it is "partial 16S ribosomal RNA". It matches the Rfam family "Bacterial small subunit ribosomal RNA", at positions 29 to 507 of the family's 1533-position model. The record is from RNAcentral.
AGUGAACGCUGGCGGUAGGCCUAACACAUGCAAGUCGAACGGCAGCACAGUAAGAGCUUGCUCUUACGGGUGGCGAGUGGCGGACGGGUGAGGAAUACAUCGGAAUCUACUUUUUCGUGGGGGAUAACGUAGGGAAACUUACGCUAAUACCGCAUACGACCUACGGGUGAAAGCAGGGGAUCUUCGGACCUUGCGCGAUUGAAUGAGCCGAUGUCGGAUUAGCUAGUUGGCGGGGUAAAGGCCCACCAAGGCGACGAUCCGUAGCUGGUCUGAGAGGAUGAUCAGCCACACUGGAACUGAGACACGGUCCACACUCCUACUGGAGGCAGCAGUGGCGAAUAUUGGACUAUGGGCGCAAGCCUGAUCCAGCCAUACCGCGUGCGUGAAGAAGGCCUUCGGGUUGUAAAGCCCUUUUGUUGGGAAAGAAAAGCAGCAGGUUAAUACCCCGCUGUUCUGACGGUACCCAAAGAAUAAGCACCGGCUAACUUCGUG